GCUUGUCUCAAAGAUUAAGCCAUGCAUGUCUAAGUAUAAACAAAUUUAUAGUGAAACUGCGAAUGGCUCAUUAUAUCAGUUAUAGUUUAUUUGGCGAUAAAAACUACUUGGAUAACCGUAGUAAUUCUAGAGCUAAUACAUGCAUCAUCCCCCAUCUCGGGGUGUAUUUAUUAGAUGGAAACCAAUGCGGGGCAACCCGGAAUAUGGUGAAUCAUAAUAACUUUCGGAUCGACUUCGGUCGAUGCAUCAUUCAAGUUUCUGCCCUAUCAGCUUUGGAUGGUAGGGUAUUGGCCUACCAUGGCUUUAACGGGUAACGGAGAAUUAGGGUUCGAUUCCGGAGAGGGAGCCUGAGAAAUGGCUACCACAUCCAAGGAAGGC
This 378-nucleotide ribosomal RNA is filed under the name uncultured Chrysophyceae. Its description in RNAcentral is "partial small subunit ribosomal RNA". It matches the Rfam family "Eukaryotic small subunit ribosomal RNA", at positions 30 to 426 of the family's 1831-position model. Lineage: Eukaryota; Chrysophyceae. The record is from RNAcentral.